This is a long non-coding RNA of Megachile rotundata (alfalfa leafcutting bee), 4375 nucleotides long. RefSeq lists it as uncharacterized. The record is from RefSeq and is a predicted model, not a curated record. NCBI's taxonomy places the organism in Eukaryota, Metazoa, Arthropoda, Insecta, Hymenoptera, Megachilidae.
UUCGUCGUACAAACUUUACGCUUCGAUGUUGCCGAAAUUGAUAGUUAAAGGCAAACAGCCUGAUUGACGAAAUUGAUAGUUAAAGGCAAACAACCUGUUAAUUAAUAAACGCAUGCCAGUCAAGACCUUGAUGCUUGAGAAAUCUUACAAAAUUCUUGUACCACCGAAAUCCUUCGGGACCUUCGUUGCUUGCUAUUUACAUACAUCUCACCUUGAACGCGCUAACGAGUCUGGGCAAGACCUCGUCCAAUUAAUCCUCUCGAUGCGUUAACGUAUUCGACCAUUUCGACGACUUUUAUCUUGGACAUCUCUUGGAAAAUUACGAAGGUGCAUCAGAUAUAAACGAGAGUUCUCGCUAUUGCGUGUUAGCACGCGUCAAGUUCACGUUAAAAUUCUUUCACCGAGGGAAAGAUUCGAAUCUGGAAUCACAAGAAGUGUUAUUAUCAGCACAUGAUAGUAUUCUUUCGCAUCCGUCUCAAAAAACGUAAGGACCAGAACGGAACGUCAACAAUUACAAAUGAGAAAAAGGAAAAAAGAACACAAAUCUUACACGGCGCCAUAAAUAAAGUAAGAAUCAUUCGUAAUACAAUUUGUAAUACACUGGCGAUAACGAGCAAUCGUUACAUUAUUGUAAAAUAUCACAAUAUGUUAAUAUCUGUCGGCUAGGGUCGAGGACGCGCGGGAGAGCCGUAAAAGAACACUUGCCUACUCUUCAGGCUGAAGACACGCAACUGAGUACGUAAACUUACAACGUUUAAUGUUUAGGGUUCCAAAAUUCAAAUUCGACGUAUCUUCGGAAGAAUUUCGAAUUUUCGAACCAACUAAAAGGAAGCUAAAAUUUGAGCCGUGUAACGUGAUACUCGUACAAAUACCGUCGUACGUUGAAACAGCCGCACGACAUCUAAACGUAGCGCGGUAAUUACAAUUUUCUUUCUCGACUUUUGUAAGAAAAGAGAAAAAUUUGAACGGUGUCCGUUUGCUUUUCGCGGACGUGUCCUCAGUCUUAACGAAAGGAAUAUUUGAAAUCGUUAUAACCAUGAAAAAAAAGGAAUAGAUCACGCGCGGGCCCGAGUGUCUCACCUUGAACACGGCUAUUCCAAAAUCUGUCAGACGUUUUUUUAAAUGUUUUAGUAACCCAUAACGGACACGUGAAAUUACAAAAUCCGAGCCGACUUAAUGAAGAAUAUAUCUCGGACAUAAGUUUGUUUCGACUUUGAAGGACCUACGACGACGCACACGAUCUCACGGUAUGGGACAUAAAAAUUGACGACAAGCAAAAUCUUUCUAUCUCGAGGCUGUUCUCUCUCUCUCUUUCUCAAUCUUUCUCUCUCUCUCUCUCUCUCACGACGUUCUCGACUCAAGACGCGUUGACAUACACCUUGGCCAACGAAAAGCGAUAUUUUCUGACCUGUAACCAGCGGAUCGGUACACGAGAAAACGAAACGAACGCACUAGGUUUGGACUUCUGAGCGAGGUGAACGUCACCGGUUCAUUGCUCGAAUACAUUAACCCUUUGCCUUACACGAUUUGUUAAGCUACUCGUGUGUCUUCUAGAUUAUGCAACUAAUUCAAUCGUGUUCGUAGAGUAAUCGCGUUUCGAGGCUUUCUUAUCACCAACACGAUUUAUGAGGACAUUUUUUAUGUCCACUUUCCAACAAAUUUUAUGUACCUUCUAUUUGGACUACAAACUUUUAUGCAUUUAAGAUAAAUCGACACAUUGUUUUAAACUUUCUGAAAAAAUUAAACGAUUACAAUAUUAUGAAUUAAUAAAAAAAAAAAAUGAAAAUGAUUUACAAUAUUCCACCUCGCUUCACUAAUAGUAUAAGGCAAAGGGUUGAAGGAAGAAUAGAGAAAACGAGGGAUGAUCGCUGUCGAAUAGCAUGCAUCGUUUCCAAUUAACUUUCUAAUCGAUUAUUUCUUUCUAAUACAGGUACGACGAUAAAAUUACAAUUAGAAUUAUUUUGACGAAUGCCGGUCUAUCGAGCAAGUCAACUCCCAUCUUCUAGGAUUAAAACCUGUCCUAUAUGUGGUAACAUUGAGAAAAUAUCGAACAAGAUGCAGGCUGAUCGACAGCUCCUCUACUUCUACGAAGAAAAAAGAAAUGAACAAAUUCGUGUGCGAGCUGCUCGAUGCAAUAAUCGUAUGAAAGUCGGACAAGCGUAGAAAAAUACUGUACACGUAACACGAAAAGUAGAUAGAAAAAGAAGAAACGGGCGGUGAAGGAGGACGAACGGGGAGUAACGAAGGAGUUUCAGCCUCUCGGUUGCAAAUUCCAUCCGACGAUGUUUAAACGGCGACGUUUUGCCAGCAUUGCGUAACAUGUUUCUUACGACGACUGAUACUGUUUGAGAUUAUUUAACGAUACACUUAGGUGCAACGUAGGCUUUCUUCGGUUAAGGAUAAGCGUAGAGACUUCCACCAAUUUUGAAGAUCAACGAUAUAAGAAUUUUCAAAGUCCUAACUUCAAAAAGGUCGCCAUUUAUUUCCCCGAAAAAAAAGAACCGUACGAUCGGAUUGCCUCAUAGAAAUCGUUUCAGUGCCAUCAUGUAUCGAUCAUAAAUUUCUAGGUCAAUGACGGAUUCCUUUUCCUUCGAGCUUAAAAUUCAUAAACGAGUUGCUUAACCCAAGACAGUUGAAAUCCCCUUAAAAACUGAUCACAGGAAAAAACCAAACGCGAAUCAGUCAUCGAAUCGUUCGAAUUCCUAGAACGAUUUUCGAUCGAUCUGGUGGGCUCGUGGCAAAUAAAACUACUCGUAUCUGUCUUCGAGCGAAAGCAUUUUUUGUACACGCGAUUACUAGUUUCACACUGUUCUUAUCUUUCUGUCAUUUUCUUUUCAUCGCUUUUUCUGCGUGUUUGUUUUCGUUAAUCUACACGGAAUCAAGGACCGGUCGCAAGGAUUCAAGGAUUAAGAGUGAGGCCACGAGCAACGACAAAAAUAGUUCUAACAAAUGCUUUUCUAUAGCUGCGUUCACGCUGAUUACUCUCCGCUAACACGUUAAUCCUACUUACUGCUAACGCCUUCGCGAUCGAGAAAAAUAAUCGUAUAAACAACACUUUGAUGUACAGUUACGAGCAAUAGUAACUUUCCUUGGUACGGGGAAAUGUAGAUGUUCAUAGUAAUUCUUCUGCUUUGUAUCGUAACGGGGAAUUAUAAACUUUUAGAACGUUUGCUUGUAACUUCGGUUGGAAUACAUUAGCACUGGUACAUUGAUGUAAUGCGAGAAAGGAAACGAUGAACCUAAUAUUCUACCAACCACUUUUCCAAUCGUAAACACAUCGAGUUUAAAAUAUUUCAAGAACAAAAGUAUUUCAAGUAUAAAUCUGGUUUCUUUAAGGAAAAUAUUCCAACUAAAUGGGCAGUCAUCCCACUUAUUAAUUCUAAGGUAUUUCUGGAGAUUACUAAUUUGGGUAAUAAUUUAUGGAUCUCAAGAUACAGGGAAACAGGAAUUUGUGGAUGUAGAUAUUUGAAUUUGAAUCCUUGAAUUCCAAUAUCAAAGGAUAUUAGAAUUUAAGGAUUAGAUAGUUUUCGGUAGCAUGAUAGUGUAAUCGUUAUCUUUCUCUAAUGUACUAGCGUUAAUUAAUGUAUCGCCGUAACCUACACUUUAGCUGCGUGAUGUAACUUUUAUCACUAGCAUAUUUCCACCAUUUCAAUACAGCAGUGUUCGUAUACUCGAAUAUCGUAGGUGUGUAAGAGUUAAUUUUAACCACACAGUUCGAAGGUCUUCUUUCCUCAUACUUCUCCUUACCAAGAUCAGACAUCUUUGCACGUAACUACACACCUGCUAAUUUCUGACCAAUGUACACACCUCGUGACCUAACGCAUUAUCCUUUGUUCGUUUAUUGAUUCGUCAUUGCGUCGCUGGAAGUAAUCACCGUUUUCUCGAAAUUAUCACUCACACCUAUGCUAUAUAUACACAUAUUUAUACACACAUACUUACACACACAUUUGGAGAACGGUAUCGUUUUCUCGCGUUCCCGGUCGCGGUACACUAAUAGCUUUUUUUACAGGUGAUUCCAGUAAUUUUCAUCUUUUCUUAAGGAGAAGAGGGAGAAUGUAUGCGUGUAACACCAGCCGUUUUAUCUCUAAGUAACAAUUACUACCGCUAUAUGUACAACGAAUCGCUAAUGCGGUCGCCCGAUUGCACCAGAAACUGAAAAAUUUCAGGCGAACUUUAUUCUCGUCUCGUCUCUCUCUCUCUCUCACUUUCUCUCUUUAUGUAUAGAUGCAACAGGAUAUAGAGAAAGAAUGCAAACGGGUACGAGAUGUAGAAUAAUUAGAAUAAUAUCACGGAAAAACGUCCAGCCUCGAGGAUUAAAUAAAAUAUUGUGGCACUUGUUGGUGAAUCUCGGUUCCACCGGCUCGAAGUGUCUAAG